Ictalurus punctatus (channel catfish) is the source of this 1747-nucleotide long non-coding RNA. NCBI's taxonomy places the organism in Eukaryota, Metazoa, Chordata, Actinopteri, Siluriformes, Ictaluridae. The record is from Ensembl.
UUAAGAGUCAUUUUGUACAGGAUAGCCUAGAUAGAGACAGCUUCUCUGUCAUGAACCAGGCCUGUUCACAGCAGCAGCCAUGGCAUCAAACACUCGUGUCUUAUAAAACACAGGAAGAUGAAGACAAUGUUUUGAAUGUGGUCUUGAUGAAAUCCUCUUCUUUUCUUUUUUGGAGGCUCGUACAGUGAUGCAUAUCCCACGUCCAACCACAUUCCCCUCACAAACAGUUCAUGGAAGGAGGAACUGGAGAAACUACGAGUGUCCCCAGUCGAACAGUGAACUAAUCACCACGCUCCAAGACAUAAGCAAGGGAAAACAUCAGAACGACAAAUUUCUGGUCCAUGACAUAAGGCAAAAAACUACCUUUAUCCAAUACUAACAAAAAUUCAUUAAAAAAACAAACAAAACAACAACAAAAAACACCACCACACACACAGAAACAAAAUGAACAGUUACACAAAAAGGCCAGCAUGCAUGAAUAACACUAGAAGAUCAACAACAUAUAUCUAGCAUAUUUCUAUGCAGGCUAUUUCAAUAUAACUGAAACUAGGACUGAAGUAGUAGAAGGUGUAAUGGCUGUGGUUCUAAACUAAAUACAGUACUCAUUUGUUUUGCUUAGUGCCAGUGCAUAUAGCACAUAUUUACACUGAAGGACAAUGACCCUAUGCUAAGGGGUGAAUGCAUACAGUACAUAGAUACUAAGAAAAAACAGCAACUCAAAAGACAAAUACAUUUUUGCCGUUCAUGUAUGGCACAUCUGUCACAGCUCACUGCUUGUUCGUGUGGGUCGAGAGAACAGCUGCGCUUAAGGCCCCAACUGGCCAAACCAAACCCUCACUGACCAUCACAGUAAGUCUCCAUAUUCCACUAAAUAUCACAAGUUGUUCCUUGAUGUUCAUCAGUCCGUGUCUUAAAAAGUCAGGCAUGGGGGGGAAAAUGGACAAUACAGUAGGAGAACCUACAGUGGCCAUGUAACCUUACAGUGGAAGUGGAACAAUACCUUAAUAAGUACUAGUCUAGGUGGCCUAUCUAAAUGUUCAAUAUGAAUGAGGAUAUUUUGUACAAUCUGUUCAAAACAACUACUGAUAAAACAGUAACAGGGAACGGCUUUAGUGUAUUAAUGAUGCGCCGCAGUCAAGAACACUGCGGUAUCCUGUCAGAUUAAACAACUUUGGUAUGUCAGUACACCGAACCAAACAAAUGCGGUUAAAUAAGGCCAUUAGACUCUUACAAUUUAUAUUAUAUAUAAUCUGAACAGCUGUUUUUUUUUUUUUUUUUUAAAUACGUCACCAUCAAUACCUGAAAAGAAGAUUUUUCUAAAUUGUUUCUAUCAAACCAAACUUGACAGGCCUAACAGCCAACGAAUUUGGCUACUUCAAAUAAUCAGCUUCUCACAUAUGGUAUAGCUUAAUCUGCUCAAGAUUCACAUUAAAGUGUCUAAAAAUUCAGUGUGUCCAAAAGGGAGCAAUGUUGGAAAGCUCGGAGGGUCAAGAAGAAACUGUGCAUCUUGAGGUUUAUAAUGUGCUCCAAUGUGCUUUCAUCCUACGAAGAGUUUUCUCUGCAAUAAAAGAUUCCUGGGAGUGAUUUUCACAGCAAAAAGCAAUGAUUAGCAAAUGUUUGACUGAUAAAAGAAAAUCUAUACACCAACCUGGUGUGCCAGUGGAAACAUGCAAAUAUGGAAAAAUUGCACAAGAUGGGUGAAAAAAAAAAAUUAACUUCCCAGCCAGUUGCUCCCUGAGUAUUCUGG